Molecule: ribosomal RNA, 225 nt
Filed under: uncultured bacterium
Lineage: Bacteria
Description: partial 16S ribosomal RNA
Rfam family: Bacterial small subunit ribosomal RNA
Source: RNAcentral
AAAACUACGGUCUCAGUUCAGAUUGCAGGCUGCAACUCGCCUGCAUGAAGUUGGAAUUGCUAGUAAUCGCGAAUCAGAAUGUCGCGGUGAAUACGUUCCCGGGCCUUGUACACACCGCCCGUCACACCAUGAGAGUCGAUAACACCCAAAGUUGGUAGUCUAACCGCAAGGAGGACGCCGCCUAAGGUGGGAUUGAUGACUGGGGUGAAGUCGUAACAAGGUACC